Molecule: ribosomal RNA, 215 nt
Filed under: Clostridioides difficile
Lineage: Bacteria; Bacillati; Bacillota; Clostridia; Peptostreptococcales; Peptostreptococcaceae
Description: partial 23S ribosomal RNA
Rfam family: Bacterial large subunit ribosomal RNA
Source: RNAcentral
AGGGGAGCUUCCCAUACGGGUUGAAGCAUGACCGUAAGGACAUGUGGACAGUAUGGGAGUGAGAAUGUUGGCAUGAGUAGCGAGAUGUGGGUGAGAAUCCCCCAGGCCGUAAACCCAAGGUUUCCAGGGGAAGGUUCGUCCGCCCUGGGUUAGUCGGGACCUAAGCUGAGGCCGAAAGGCGUAGGUGAUGGACAACAGGUUGAUAUUCCUGUACU